GCCCGAGUGGUGGAAUUGGUAGACGCAGGGGAUUCAAAAUCCCCCGCCGCAAGGCGUGCCGGUUCAAUUCCGGCCUCGGGCACCA
This 85-nucleotide transfer RNA is filed under the name Alcaligenaceae bacterium. RNAcentral's name for it is "tRNA-Leu". It matches the Rfam family "tRNA". From Rfam's summary of the family: Transfer RNA (tRNA) molecules are approximately 80 nucleotides in length. Their secondary structure includes four short double-helical elements and three loops (D, anti-codon, and T loops). Lineage: Bacteria; Pseudomonadati; Pseudomonadota; Betaproteobacteria; Burkholderiales; Alcaligenaceae. The record is from RNAcentral.